RNAcentral lists this ribosomal RNA (407 nucleotides) under Verrucomicrobiota bacterium. Its description in RNAcentral is "Verrucomicrobia bacterium partial 16S ribosomal RNA". It matches the Rfam family "Bacterial small subunit ribosomal RNA", at positions 355 to 776 of the family's 1533-position model. The record is from RNAcentral. Lineage: Bacteria; Pseudomonadati; Verrucomicrobiota.
UGGGGAAUAUUGGACAAUGGAGGCAGCUCUGAUCCAGCAAUUCUGUGUGUGUGAAGAAGGUUUUAGGACUGUAAAACACUUUUAGAAGGGAAGAAAGAAAUGACGGUACCUACAGAAGAAGCGACGGCUAAAUACGUGCCAGCAGCCGCGGUAAUACGUAUGUCGCGAGCGUUAUCCGGAAUUAUUGGGCUUAAAGGGCAUCUAGGCGGUUAAACAAGUUGAAGGUGAAAACCUGUGGCUCAACCAUAGGCUUGCCUACAAAACUGUAUAACUAGAGUACUGGAAAGGUGGGUGGAACUACACGAGUAGAGGUGAAAUUCGUAGAUAUGUGUAGGAAUGCCGAUGAUGAAGAUAACUCACUGGACAGCAACUGACGCUGAAGUGCGAAAGCUAGGGGAGCAAACAGG